GUAGGUGAACCUGCGGAAGGAUCAUUAACACGUAUCCAACGUUAAAACCCCCGUGAACUUUUAUUCGAUGCUCCUCACCGCUAAGUCUUGGAUGUAGCCGACAGCAAUUCCUGCACUCCGUCAUAGAAAAUGUUUGGAGGAGGAACUUCUGCAGGUAGAGCACUGUGAGUUUGAGCGCGGUAAGGUGGCUUGUUUUUCCCCAAGCAGUCAGUGAAUGAAAGUGUCAUUGAUUGUCUAAGGAUUUCGCUCAACGAUCACUGGAGGUCGAUUACCGACCGGUGGAGCAAGUCACAGGGCUUCGGCUCCCUACCCAACCCCACUUCCUAUUGCCGCUCCGCGCUAACAACGCCGGGCACCUAAAAACGUACUAAACAACUGUUAACAAUGGAUAUCUUGGUUCUC
RNAcentral lists this unclassified non-coding RNA (402 nucleotides) under rhizosphere metagenome. Its description in RNAcentral is "partial ribosomal RNA internal transcribed spacer region". The record is from RNAcentral.